GUCGAGAAUAAUUCACAAUGGACGAAAGUCUGAUGGUGCAACGCCGCGUGGAGGAUGAAGGUCUUCGGAUUGUAAACUCCUGUCAUCGGGGAGUAAGACCUGGCGGUAAAUAGCCGACAGGGUUGAUAGUACCCGAAGAGGAAGGGACGGCUAACUUCGUGCCAGCAGCCGCGGUAAUACGAAGGUCCCAAGCGUUGUUCGGAAUCACUGGGCGUAAAGGGAGCGUAGGCUGCGCGGUAAGUCAGGUGUGAAAUCCCGGGGCUCAACCCCGGAACUGCACCCGAUACUGACGUGCUAGAGGGUUGGAGAGGUGACUGGAAUUCUCGGUGUAGCAGUGAAAUGCGUGGAUAUCGAGAGGAACACUCGUGGCGAAGGCGAGUCACUGGACAACAUCUGACGCUGAGGCUCGAAGGCCAGGGGAGCAAAAGGGAUUAGAAACCCCGUAGUCC
This 449-nucleotide ribosomal RNA is filed under the name uncultured bacterium. RNAcentral describes it as "partial 16S ribosomal RNA". It matches the Rfam family "Bacterial small subunit ribosomal RNA", at positions 354 to 796 of the family's 1533-position model. The record is from RNAcentral.